RNAcentral lists this ribosomal RNA (431 nucleotides) under uncultured bacterium. Its description in RNAcentral is "partial 16S ribosomal RNA". It matches the Rfam family "Bacterial small subunit ribosomal RNA", at positions 338 to 795 of the family's 1533-position model. The record is from RNAcentral.
CCUACGGGAGGCAGCAGUGGGGAAUAUUGGGCAAUGGGCGGAAGCCUGACCCAGCCACGCCGCGUGAGUGAUGAAGGCCUUCGGGUUGUAAAGCUCUGUGGGAAGGGGCGCGGUACCUUCUUAGCAAGCACCGGCUAACUCUGUGCCAGCAGCCGCGGUAAGACAGAGGGUGCAAACGUUGCUCGGAUUUACUGGGCGUAAAGCGCGUGUAGGCGGGCGACUAAGUCGGAUGUGAAAUCCCUGGGCUCAACCUAGGAACUGCAUUCGAAACUGGUCACCUAGAGUGAUGGAGAGGAAAGCGGAAUUCCCGGUGUAGAGGUGAAAUUCGUAGAUAUCGGGAGGAACACCAGUGGCGAAGGCGGCUUUCUGGACUUACUGACGCUGAGACGCGAAAGCGUGGGGAGCAAACAGGAUUAGAUACCCUUGUAGUC